UCUCCCUCGCAUCUCUGGCGUAGCCGUCGCUCUCGCUCCCCUCCUCUCCGGCCCGAGCGACCGCUUCUCCUCUGCGCCUCCCUCCUCCUCCUGACCGUCCCUUGUGCUAGCCCCUCUCUGCCAUGAACUGCGGAGGAGCUAUCAGUAGCGGCGGAGGUCGGGCUCUUGGGGGUGAGGCUAGAGAAGUCCAGGCGGAGCACGCCGCCGCCGUUGCAACCAGCCGUGCCUUGGGCGACGCCGACGAGCUCCAAUGGCUUGACGCCACCAACGCGCCUCGGUGGAUCAAUCUGGCGCCAAGAACCGUCCCAGCCUUGCUUCAUCUCUGCUGCCGCCCCCUCCCCUUCCACCCUAGCCACCGCCCCCGUCGCGCGACUGCGAACCCGCCCUCCCAUCCCCCUCUCCUCUCCACUCUCCUCGAUUCCAGUUUCUAAUUAGCAGUCAAGGAGUAGAUAACUGCACAACUUUGGACAUGCAUGAGGUAGUGGUUGUUAAAAAGAUAGAUGACUGUAACAAAUAAUGAGAACAAGGAGCCAGAAAUAUUGGAAAACGACCAUAAGAUAGAUAGUGGAUUUAGUGAUUUGGUUAUUAUGGAGGUUGAUGGAACUUGGUCUACUGUCGGAAUUCAGAGCCAUAAAGCAUUGGACUUGGACAAGCAACAAACAAUCAAAGACGUGUACGUGACUGCUCCAUGGUUCAGAGCUCUUCCAUGGCAGAAAGCAGCGGUCCCAAGGCCAAGGACAGUUGUUGUAAGGAAUAUGUUUCCAUGCACCUUCCUCGACCUUUAGGACUGAGAAUGUGGCCAAGGGGAUCCUGUGGUGCGGGGUGAUGACCGUGGACACGCUCCGCUGGGGGAAUGAGGUGCUCCGGAAGAGGAUCCAGCCUGGCGAUACUGAGGCUGAGGUCAGCUUGGAGAUGCGCAUGCGCAUCGAAAGAUGACGAGCGUGGCAAUCUCGGCGGGCUCGCUAAAGUCAGGGGAAGGAGAGAAACAAUGGGGAGCAUAACAUGGAUGUGGGGCAGGAGAGGCCGUGGUCGGAGCGGCACUGCGUGGGCAUAUUGGGUAUUAUUUGAGCUGAUACUCCAUUUUCUUACAAGAGAUGUGGUCCCAUCAAUGUUGGCUGUCGAAUUUGUGCUGCAGUCCAUGCCCACCAUGUCCGAGUCUUCGCCCCUUCGUCAUCCAACACAAACAGCAGAACAGAGUAGAAGUUGUGAUUUGCCAGGUUGGAGAACUGACGCAGCUUGCUGUCACGGAGUGCUCGCCCUUCUUCUGUGCCAUAAAGCCCCUCGGUCGAAACUUGCAAAUCAAAAUUGCCGACCCUGUCAAUCUCGCUGGAACGACGUCUAGCUCGUUGUGCUCCACUCACUCUAACGGCAUAUCUCAUAACUAAAGCUAUGAACAAGUGCUUCAGUUAUGCUGGUGGCAAUACAUUGCUUGAGGUGACCUCGUGUGCAAGAUUAUCCCCAUGGAGGGCGCUGGCACGGAGACAUUUGCUCACAUCAGUACUAAUGAGCAGCCUGGUUGGGUGGUGACGUUUCCGAGUGGCCAAGCAAGAGCUUUUUUUUGGUCUACACCUAUGCAGUGGUGACUUCUGCUACAAUGUGCAUCAACACCAGAACCAUGUUCCUGAUCAUGGACGCUGUUGUGUCCCUCACCGGCUCUCUCCUUGCCAUCACCGACAGGGUUGUGCAGGCCACUACUCGCGCAACUACUUUGCAGUGUGGAGCAUGCCAUCGAGAUAGACCAAAAGAAGAACACCGCCGGCAACAACACCAAUGGGGGCCUCCCUGGUUUCCACCACCGCUGUUGCCAUCGUCUCCCUCCCCGCCGCCCCACACCACACUGCCAGAUAGGUCUGUGUGCUUUGCCCUUGCCCCCUGCUUAUUGCACUCAGGAUGUGUUGGUGCCAUGCUUUGCCUAUAUGUAAUCUCCUAUUCUGUUGUAAAAUUCUUUUUGCUUAUGAUUUCUUACUGUAGUGUGAAAUUUUAAUUGCUUGGGUUGUUACUGCUAUGCAAAUAUAUUGCUAUAUUUUAGGUUUGUUA
Triticum aestivum (bread wheat) is the source of this 2037-nucleotide long non-coding RNA. RefSeq lists it as uncharacterized. The record is from RefSeq and is a predicted model, not a curated record. Lineage: Eukaryota; Viridiplantae; Streptophyta; Magnoliopsida; Poales; Poaceae. The transcript has 12 exons.